This 497-nucleotide ribosomal RNA is filed under the name uncultured bacterium. RNAcentral's name for it is "partial 16S ribosomal RNA". It matches the Rfam family "Bacterial small subunit ribosomal RNA", at positions 28 to 507 of the family's 1533-position model. The record is from RNAcentral.
GAUGAACGCUGGCGGCGUGCCUAAUACAUGCAAGUCGAGCGAACGGACGAGAAGCUUGCUUCUCUGAUGUUAGCGGCGGACGGGUGAGUAACACGUGGAUAACCUACCUAUAAGACUGGGAUAACUUCGGGAAACCGUAGCUAAUACCGGAUAAUAUUUUGAACCGCAUGGUUCAAAAGUGAAAGACGGUCUUGCUGUCACUUAUAGAUGGAUCCGCGCUGCAUUAGCUAGUUGGUAAGGAAACGGCUUACCAAGGCAACGAUGCAUAGCCGACCUGAGAGGGUGAUCGGCCACACUGGAACUGAGACACGGUCCAGACUCCUACGGGAGGCAGCAGUAGGGAAUCUUCCGCAAUGGGCGAAAGCCUGACGGAGCAACGCCGCGUGAGUGAUGAAGGUCUUCGGAUCGUAAAACUCUGUUAUUAGGGAAGAACAUAUGUGUAAGUAACUGUGCACAUCUUGACGGUACCUAAUCAGAAAGCCACGGCUAACUACGUG